This 424-nucleotide ribosomal RNA is filed under the name uncultured microorganism. RNAcentral describes it as "bacterial SSU rRNA". It matches the Rfam family "Bacterial small subunit ribosomal RNA", at positions 9 to 429 of the family's 1533-position model. The record is from RNAcentral.
GAGUUUGAUCCUGGCUCAGAACGAACGCUGGCGGCGGGCCUCAUACAUGCAAGUCGAGCGCGAAAGUCCGCAAGGAUGAGUAAAGCGGCGCACGGGUGAGUAACAUGUGGAUAAUCUACCCUUUGGAUUGGAAUAACCUGUCGAAAGACGGGCUAAUGCCGAGUAAGCUCUCGGGGCGUGAAGCUCUUGCGAGGAAAGAUGGCGCAAGCUAUCGCCGAUGGAUGAGUCUGCGUCCCAUUAGUUAGUUGGUGAGGUAACAGCUUACCAAGACGAUGAUGGGUACCUGGUCUGAGAGGAUGAUCAGGCACACUGGAACUGAAACACGGUCCAGACUCCUACGGGAGGCAGCAGUAGGGAAUAUUGCGCAAUGGACGAAAGUCUGACGCAGCCACGCCGCGUGAGUGAGGAAGGCCUCGGUUGUAAG